Molecule: small RNA, 83 nt
Filed under: Lacinutrix venerupis
Lineage: Bacteria; Pseudomonadati; Bacteroidota; Flavobacteriia; Flavobacteriales; Flavobacteriaceae
Description: Flavo-1 RNA
Rfam family: Flavo-1 RNA
Source: RNAcentral
UUAUUGCGUUAGUGGUAGAAGCGGCAUCCUUUUUUUUGUUGCAUAUAUGCAAAAAAAAGAUAUAGUGGAUGACACGACGAAAA